GUGAGUCAUCGAAUCUUUGAACGCACCUUGCGCCCUUUGGCAUUCCGAAGGGCAUGCCUGUUUGAGUGUCAUUAAAUUCUCAACCUUGCUUGCUUUUUUUGCUUGUGAGGCUUGGAUGUGAGGGCUUGCUGGCUUCCUUCAGUGGAUGGUCUGCUCCCUUCAAAUCUAUUAGUGGGUUCCUUUGUGGACUGUCACUUGGUGUGAUAAUUAUCUACGCCGCCUGACUGAAGCAAGACUUGUGGGAGCCUGCUCAUAACCGUCUCCUUUUGAGACAACAUCUUGACAAUUUGACCUCAAAUCAGGUAGGACUACCCGCUGAACUUAAGCAUAUCAAUAAGCGGAGGA
Molecule: unclassified non-coding RNA, 345 nt
Filed under: Mycena sp.
Lineage: Eukaryota; Fungi; Basidiomycota; Agaricomycetes; Agaricales; Mycenaceae
Description: partial contains 5.8S ribosomal RNA, internal transcribed spacer 2, and large subunit ribosomal RNA
Rfam family: 5.8S ribosomal RNA (bases 1-71)
Source: RNAcentral